RNAcentral lists this ribosomal RNA (187 nucleotides) under Escherichia coli. Its description in RNAcentral is "partial 16S ribosomal RNA". It matches the Rfam family "Bacterial small subunit ribosomal RNA", at positions 1 to 181 of the family's 1533-position model. Lineage: Bacteria; Pseudomonadati; Pseudomonadota; Gammaproteobacteria; Enterobacterales; Enterobacteriaceae. The record is from RNAcentral.
AAAUUGAAGAGUUUGAUCAUGGCUCAGAUUGAACGCUGGCGGCAGGCCUAACACAUGCAAGUCGAACGGUAACAGGAAACAGCUUGCUGUUUCGCUGACGAGUGGCGGACGGGUGAGUAAUGUCUGGGAAACUGCCUGAUGGAGGGGGAUAACUACUGGAACCGGUAGCUAAUACAGCAUAGCGGCG